UUCCCGAGUCCGCCCUUCUUUUACCGUCGCGCACAAUUAAAGGUUUGAAAAUUUCCAGUCUGAGCUCGAACCGCCCUUCUCCGCUCCAUCUGCGCCGCCCAUCGCACGAUGGACGGCGGCGAGUACGCGUCCAGCCGCGGCCCGGGCGCUCCGACGCCGGCGCGUGUCUCGCUUGCCCACCUCGUCUCCCCCUCCCCUCGCCGCCUCUCUGGCUGUUUCGAAGAGCCGAGCAGGCCGGCGCUGAAGAAGAUCGCUUGGGUCUCGCUCCAGGGCCGCCUCGUCGGCGCAGAGGAGGCCACAUCGGCCGGCGCAAUCGGAGGCGGCUUGAGCGGUGAUGAAGCGGUGGCAUGGGAUCUCUUUAGCCCUCUCCAUCGGGUCCUCGUAGUCGCCGUCGUCGCGGCAGCCGCUUACAACUCGAAGAGGGCUCGGCAGAUCGAACAGUUUCAGAGAUCCGUAGAGCUAAGGGACGAGGUGCUCCUCAGCAUGCAGCAGAAGCUUGAUAAUUUAUGUGAGCAGAUGAACUCCCUUCAGGAUCAACCAGUCAAAUGCAUUUCGGGGCUUUCAUUGGAGAAUGAUCAAUUCAAUGCUGAGGUGAAGCAAUUACAGGUUGCAUCUCAAUUUUGUGGUUCUAGGACUUCACUGCUGGAGCUUAACCCUGAGAGUGGAAGUUUGCCUCUUUGUAGACACGUAUCAAGUGGGCUACAUGGAGGGAAAGAUGCCACUGGGAUAGAGUCUGCAAAAGGGGAGGCCUUCAACGCAGAUAAUUUGAUCCCAACGGAGCAAGAAGAGCGUCGGAUGUCUGAUUUGUCUGAUUUUAAUUGGAGUGUUACAUCUUCUGUUGACUUUCAGCUAAGUGCAUUAGCAUCAGAGCAAGAAUUCUAUAACCUUCGCAAGGAGUGUGAAGAGAAGGAUGCAAAAAUAAAGGAAUUAGCUAUUGCUGUUGAUGCAUUUAGGGCUGCUGACUGUAAGAGGAUAACGGAACUUGAAGAAAUCAUAAGAAGGAAGAACUUGGUGAUCUCCAAACUGAAGAAAGAUAAGGCUGUUCUCGAGAAACAGGUUGUUGAGCUUACAAGGCUCCGGAGAAGUUCUUCUACUGCUUUGGACACUAGCAAUCUGCAGCCUCCAGUCAUGGCAAAUAAUAUCCUGUAUGACAUGAGUAGUACUAGUCCAUCAUCUUCUGACCCGGAUUCUCCUAUGACCAGCAAACAAUACCAUUCUCAACGUUCUGUUGCUGAGGAUAAUCCUCAGCGUCAUGACAUUAGAAUGGCUGAAAUUAUAAGUCCAUCCUCAGUGGAGCAUUUAAUUCCCUUGAACAAAUCAAAUGAUGGGUCUCUAAAGCAACAAUUUAUUAGUCCUCUUAAAGAGAACCAAAGGAUUCAGAGAUCUGAACCAGCUUCUGCAUUAAGACACAGACGAAUUGUGCAUUUUAGUGAAGAUUCCAAGAGAACCAGAAGGGCUGCUCACCAGAAAGCAAAUUACACCUCUUCAAAAAUGAGAUGGACCUAAAUAUUAAUGUCAAUAGGGAGCAGGUACUUGAAGAGGAAGCAUUGAUGAUAUGUAGGCACUGGGUGGAAUUAUCAAUUUUGUAUACAGUUUUAUGGCACUGCAGCUGAAAGCCAACAAAAACUUGUUUACUCUAUUUAAGAAAAGAUUCAACAUACUGAGAGUUCUAAGAUUUUAUUUGUCAUAUGUUAAUGCUGAACAAUUUUCAGGCCACACGCUGCUGGCCCUCAGAAACCGGGAGGGCCCACGCCAGCUCGUCAUCAAUGAAGUGGGGCCCAUCGACGGCUAGCGAGGAGGAACCGUGUUCCCUGUCCGACAAGAGACAAGUGAGUUCGACCGGCAGCAGCUCAGGCGCCUCGUACAUGGCGGCGAUCCACCGUCCGUUUGCCCCCUUGGCUGGAUCCUGCACCGUUGAUGACCCGCAUGUGGGGAAGGAAAUAGCAGGUCCCCCUCCGUCGUAAGAAAAGCUUCCGAACGUUUUGCCUUCUAGAAGCGGUGGGGCUCGCCGGCGGCCGCCAUUCUUUCUCCCAUACCGUGUACCUUGGCCAAGCCACGAGACGCCAUCUCCUCCGCCCUUGUGCCUUCAAAAAAUCCUGACAU
Molecule: RNA transcript, 2103 nt
Organism: Musa acuminata AAA Group (dessert banana)
Lineage: Eukaryota; Viridiplantae; Streptophyta; Magnoliopsida; Zingiberales; Musaceae
Exons: 8
Source: RefSeq, a predicted model, not a curated record